This 967-nucleotide long non-coding RNA is filed under the name Elaeis guineensis (African oil palm). Its description in RNAcentral is "long non-coding RNA (EGUI_LNC072441)". Lineage: Eukaryota; Viridiplantae; Streptophyta; Magnoliopsida; Arecales; Arecaceae. The record is from RNAcentral.
UUCUAUUGACCACAUAAAUUUUUGGCUCCUCAACCCAAUCUCUUCGUUGCCGUUGGGUUAUGUGAUCUUCAAGUUCAAAGUCAUUUGAGGAUCUCUCAAUUAAUUGGAAGCUGAGAAGAGACUAUUUUAAGGGGCUCUUGAAAGCCCUGUAGAUGAAGCUACACUCCAAUUGCAACUUGAGUCGCAAGGGCUCGAUUCCCCUUAUUUGAAUGGAAGAUGAUGGGAGGGAAAAAAAAAUAAAGAUGAGAGGGAAGGGUGCAAGAAUGACAGCGGCCAGGGAGAGAUCAAGGCUAGGGGGUUGAGGCUUCGUCUGGUUGGUGCCGACGCUUCUUUCGGUAGUCACCGGCGAUGAGGGAGGAGGGGACUGGGAGGAAGCCACGAUCCGGAGGGGGCGGGGGGCUCUUCUACUGGACCAAGUUAGAAGACGGAGAAAGGGCUAGGAGAGUUAGGGCUCGCGACGAGGACCUGGGACAGCCUCUUCCAAUAGCCACCGACGACGACAGAGGAGGAGAUCGAGAGGAGGGCAUGACAGAUAGUGGGGGUGCAGCUGCUUGCUCUGCCCUUGGAUUUCUCGGUUGUCUUCUGAAAACCACGAAUGAUGAGAGCGGAUCGUGAGUAGGGGGGCUCAGCUGCUCGACCAAGCUAGAAGACGGAGAAGGGCCCGAGAGAGAUCGAUGCUGGGAGUCGUGAUCUUGGACCGGUUGGCAUCGGCCUCUUCGAUCUAGAAAUCGGCGACAAUGAGGGAGGAGGGGAUCAGGAAGAGGGCAUUGUAGAGGACCUCAAGGAGGAGAGGACUCGAAGGUAUGAAAGAGUCGAAGAUAGGAGGAGAGAGGGUGCGCUUGGGGUCCAAAGCUCGUGUUGUAACAAAAGCCCGUAGGGUGACCUGGUGUCGUGGUCUCGAGUCUCCCAAUCGGUGGGCUGGUUCGUUUCGUAACUGGCACCUGCAGUAUUGCUUCAUCUGCAGCGC